Molecule: ribosomal RNA, 403 nt
Filed under: Verrucomicrobiota bacterium
Lineage: Bacteria; Pseudomonadati; Verrucomicrobiota
Description: Verrucomicrobia bacterium partial 16S ribosomal RNA
Rfam family: Bacterial small subunit ribosomal RNA
Source: RNAcentral
UGGGGAAUAUUGCACAAUGGGGGAAACCCUGAUGCAGCGACGCCGCGUGAGCGAAGAAGGUUUUCGAAUCGUAAAGCUCUGUCCUAUGAGAAGAUAAUGACGGUAUCAUAGGAGGAAGCCCCGGCUCAAUACGUGCCAGCAGCCGCGGUAAUACGUAUGGGGCGAGCGUUGUCCGGAAUUAUUGGGCGUAAAGGGUACGUAGGCGGUCUAUUAAGUCAGGUGUGAAAGCGUGAGGCUUAACCUCAUUAAGCACUUGAAACUGAUAGACUUGAGUGAAGGAGAGGAAAGUGGAAUUCCUAGUGUAGCGGUGAAAUGCGUAGAUAUUAGGAGGAAUACCGGUGGCGAAGGCGACUUUCUGGACUUUUACUGACGCUCAGGUACGAAAGCGUGGGGAGCAAACAGG